This 253-nucleotide ribosomal RNA is filed under the name uncultured bacterium. Its description in RNAcentral is "partial 16S ribosomal RNA". It matches the Rfam family "Bacterial small subunit ribosomal RNA", at positions 524 to 776 of the family's 1533-position model. The record is from RNAcentral.
UACGGGGGGGGCAAGCGUUGUUCGGAAUUACUGGGCGUAAAGGGCUCGUAGGCGGCCAACUAAGUCGGACGUGAAAUCCCUCGGCUUAACCGGGGAACUGCGUCCGAUACUGGAUGGCUUGAGAUUGGGAGAGGGAUGCGGAAUUCCAGGUGUAGCGGUGAAAUGCGUAGAUAUCGGAAGGAACAUCAGUGGCGAAAGCGGCUUCCUGGACCAGCACCGACGUUCAGGCACGAAAGCGUGGGGAGCAAACAGG